CGGUGGAGCAUGUGGUUUAAUUCGAAGCAACGCGCAGAACCUUACCAGCGUUUGACAUCCUGAUCGCGGAUUAGAGAGAUCUUUUCCUUCAGUUCGGCUGGAUCAGUGACAGGUGCUGCAUGGCUGUCGUCAGCUCGUGUCGUGAGAUGUUGGGUUAAGUCCCGCAACGAGCGCAACCCUCAUCCCUAGUUGCCAUCAUUAAGUUGGGCACUCUAAGGAAACUGCCGGUGAUAAGCCGGAGGAAGGUGGGGAUGACGUCAAGUCCUCAUGGCCCUUACGCGCUGGGCUACACACGUGCUACAAUGGCAACUACAGUGGGCAGCAACCGGGCGACCGGUGGCUAAUCUCCAAAAGUUGUCUCAGUUCGGAUUGUUCUCUGCAACUCGAGAGCAUGAAGGCGGAAUCGCUAGUAAUCGCGGAUCAGCAUGCCGCGGUGAAUACGUUCCCAGGCCUUGUACACACCGCCCGUCACACCAUGGGAGUUGGUUUCACCCGAAGGCAGUGCUCUAACCCG
Molecule: ribosomal RNA, 514 nt
Filed under: uncultured bacterium
Lineage: Bacteria
Description: bacterial SSU rRNA
Rfam family: Bacterial small subunit ribosomal RNA
Source: RNAcentral